GAAAAAUGGCCACUACUUUGAAAGUUUUCAACCGUGUUCGACCAUCACUUAAGUAAAUUAAUCGUGGAAACUGCAUUAAAAUUUUAAAGGAUAUCGAGGUGGAGGACCUCACCCUCCACGUUCCUGGCGACCUUGUGCUGGGACACCAGAGGUUGAUGGCCCGGGCGCCCAGCUCUAUGAGUUGAACAGCAGGACACUCUCGCUGUGUUUAAAGGAUAUCGAGGUGGAGGACCUCACCCUCCACGUUCCUGGCGACCUUGUGCUGGGACACCAGAGGUUGAUGGCCCGGGCGCCCAGCUCUAUGAGUUGAACAGCAGGACACUCUCGCUGUGGUAUGUUUGAUGCUUUGGACAGUGUUACGGUGACAUGCUUGAAUCCCACGCUCUCAAUGGUGUACAUGGAACCAAAAUACUAUCUCGUAAUCCGUUCUCGGGUUCACCAGGACGCAGCGAGAGAAGGAGAGGACUGUGUUGGCUGCAUCGCACAACUCCGCCACUAGGGGGGCGGUGUCUCAACAGAAAGAAUACCCAACCCAUGAGUUAUUAUUACAAUUAUUAGAAUAGAGAUAUUAAUAAGAAACUAAAAUUUAGAACGCUUCACGAGUUUGC
Long non-coding RNA from Gadus chalcogrammus (walleye pollock), 608 nucleotides. RefSeq lists it as uncharacterized. The record is from RefSeq and is a predicted model, not a curated record. The transcript has 3 exons. NCBI's taxonomy places the organism in Eukaryota, Metazoa, Chordata, Actinopteri, Gadiformes, Gadidae.